Molecule: long non-coding RNA, 3118 nt
Filed under: Piliocolobus tephrosceles (Ugandan red Colobus)
Lineage: Eukaryota; Metazoa; Chordata; Mammalia; Primates; Cercopithecidae
Description: lncRNA (ENSPTEG00000003209.1)
Source: RNAcentral
UUUUAUUAGUGACUGAAGUUUAUAGUAAAAUAACAUGAACCGUUAUAGAUAACUGGAAAAAAAAAAAAAAAAUAAAAUAAAAUAAACGAAUUAAACGAAUUAAACAAGUUAAACAGGUUAAACAAGUUAAACAAAUUAAACAAUUAAAGCAAAUUAAACAAAUUAAACAAUUAAAGUGAAUUAAACAAUUAAAGUGAAUUAAACAAAUUAAAAAAUUAAAGCAAAUUAAGCGAGUUAAACAAAUUAAGCAAGUUAAACAAAUUAAGCAAGUUAAACAAAUUAAACAAAUUAAACAAAUAGUAGAAUGUAUAAAUAAAUAAAUAAAUUCAUACAACAAAAAACCUAAAACAGCCGAAAAUAACACAAUGAUAAAAAUAACAUAAACGGUAAUAAGCCAAAAAAAAAAAAAAAAAACAUUUCAUUGUACGAAUGGUAAAUGUACACUUAUAUAUAUAAUAACAUAACAUGUACAUGGAAAAAUUACAAUAGUUGAACUUGUUCAAAUAAAAGUAUAUGGUUUAUAUAAUAGUGCGCUUAUAUUUUUUCGCACAAAAAUAUAUGACAUAUGUAUGACACAUACGCAUAGAUAGCAAAUAUUAUAAGCAUCUAUAUAUUAAUUCAUAUUUUUCCACACAGUUUACCACAAUUCUUUAAUUUUUUUUUUUUUUUUUUCAACAGGAUGAAUACACAUAUUUCCCCAUAACCAUUUUUUUACUACUACUACUACUACUAUAAUAAUAAGAAGAAGAAGAGGAAAAAGAAAACAAAAAAAAAAAUGGCUAUAAUAAAUAGUAGAAUAAAUUUAUUUUGUUUUUUUAAAUAUAAAAAUAUAUUUCCCUUAAUAAAUGAACACAACGAAAAGGGGUUAAUAUAUUUUUGUAAAAAAAAACAUAUUAGGUAUUAUAUUACACCUAAGGAUGGAAAAACUAAUAACCAUAGAUGUUUUAAAAGUAACGUGGUGCGGAGUUAUCAAAAAAGGUUCAAGACGACGCAAGAACAAUUAGAUACGUGUACGCAAUCGGGCGAACAACCAAACAAACCUUCCCAACCAAGCGAACUAAAAAUAAACGACUUUUACUACUACAACAUAUAUUUGCUAAAAAACGAGGAGUUUGCAAAAUUUGUAGUAAGUUACAACUUUAAUGAAAACAAAAAUAUAUAUGUUUGUAUUCUUAUACAUUUAGGGAAAAUAUACCCUAGCUUAGAUAUUAAAAUAAUUAUGAAAAUUUUAUCUAAAGUUUAUGAAAAAAACAAAGCUUCUUUUUCACAUGCUUUAAUUAAAAAAAGUAGUAUACAUAACUUGUACCUACAUAUUUGUAAUAAUAUAAUAAAAUUAAAUAACUACGAUUUAGUUAUGCUUUUACAAUGUUGUUGUUAUACAACAAAUGAAUACCCAAUGGACUGUAUACAAACUAUACAAGACUUUAUUUUGAAAAAAGCACUUCAUACUUUUAACAUAAAUCAUAUCAAUGAUAUUUGCAACUGUUUAAUUAAAAUAAAAAAUGAAUGCAAAAUAAAAAAAAUACAAUACGACGUUUUUAAUAUCUAUAACAUAUUUUAUGAAAUAUUUUUGUAUAUAAAAAAACAAAUUAUUAGUGUAGACACACAAAGCCUUUUUUAUUAUUAUCCUUUGUAUAUUAAUUUGAUUAAAACCGUUCAAGAAUUUAGUGAGUCAAAAUGGAAGAGCAAAAUAGAAGAAGAAGAAGAAGAAGAAGAAGAAGAGGAAGAAGAAGAAGAAGUUAAAAUCUGUUUAACUAGGGAACAGGAUUAUGCAGAAAAAAAACUGACGAAUCUUAGUAACUAUGAUAAUACAGCACACAUAGAGAAUACAUUAAGUAAUUUAAAUAAAGAUUCAAGUUCUUGCGAUAGUGCAAAUUUGGGUAGUAAAACUAACAGUAGCAUCAAAACGAACCACUUAAAAAAUGCGAACACAAAAUACCUAUUAAAUGAUGAAGAAGUAGCAAUGUUAAAAAAAAAAUGCAAAAUAAUUUUUUUAAACAAAAUCAACGAAAUGGACAAAGACACAGUUAUAGAAGCUGUAAUUAUAUACAAAUGGCUAGAAUUAAAUAAUCAGCCUCUUUUUAUACAUAUAUGUGAAUUAUUUUUUUCAAAUAUAUUAGAAUAUGAUUAUAAAUUUAUUAUUCGUUUUAUUAGAAAAUGUCACACGCUUAAGUUCUAUCUAAACAAAACAACAGAAAAUGAAAAUAAGAACAAGUUAAAUGAAAAAAAUAGCAUAAAAAAAAUAGAAAAUGACGAAGCAAAUUAUUUGAAUUAUAUGGUUGGUGAUAAGGAGAAUGUUAAUAAUGCAUCAAACAUCAUUGAAAAAAAAAAAAUGGCAAAAGAAAAAAAUAAAACAUUAUUAAAAAAAAAAAAAAAAAAAAAAAAAAAACAUAUGCCGCAACUACAACAACUAGAACAUCUAGAGAAAAAAAAUGAAACAGAAGAAACCUUAACCGGGACUAACAUCUUUUUAAAAUUUAUAAACGACAAAUUAUAUGAUAUGAACAUAGCCGAAUUGCAUUGUGUUACUUAUGGUAUAUACGGGUUUAUACAAAAUAUGAAACAGUUUACUACUCUUACAAAUUUAAAAAAUAAUAUAAAUAUAUUUUUUUCAAUGAGCAUUCAAUAUAUACAAAACUUUAUAGAAAAGCAUAUGUCUAUUGAUAUACAAAAUAAUAAAAAGAAUCAUUUUCAAUAUAAUUACUCACCUUAUCAUAAUUUAAAAAAUUGUUAUUAUUUACAACAUAAAAAAAAAAAUCAAAUAAAAAAUGAGAUGAAUGAAACUUAUUUGACUGUACAGGACAUUAAUAUGAAUACAGAUUUUUUUUAUAUUGCACCAACUAACAUAUAUUUUAACAAAAAAUUUGACGGUUGUGAAUUUCCAAGUAGUAGUAGCAAUAUUAGCAAUGGUAGCAGUGACAGUAGUACCACUUUUACUUCCACUACUACUACUACUAACAUAAAUGAUAAUACAAACGGUGACAUAAGUACUAGUCCUAAUACAAUCAUCAAUAGCAGUACACAUAAGACAAAUGCAGACCUUAGCCAUACCUACGAAGAAACAUGUCAAUAUGUCGAAUUACUAUGCGACAUACUUUUAAAUAUUAGCCAUUUUAAC